GUGAGGAAUAUUGCGCAAUGGAGGCAACUCUGACGCAGCCAUGCCGCGUGCAGGAAGAAGGCGCUACGCGUUGUAAAGCCCUUUUGUACGGGAAGAAACCCCAGGACGUGUCCUGGGUUGACGGUACCGGAGGAAUAAGCACCGGCUAACUUCGUGCCAGCAGCCGCGGUAAUACGAAGGGUGCAAGCGUUAUCCGGAUUCAUUGGGUUUAAAGGGUGCGCAGGCGGAGCGUUAAGUCAGUGGUGAAAUCCUGCAGCUUAACUGUAGACUUGCCGUUGAUACUGGCGCUCUUGAGUGCGCUUGAAGUGGGCGGAAUGUGCCGUGUAGCGGUGAAAUGCUUAGAUAUGGCACAGAACACCAAUUGCGAAGGCAGCUCACUAAGGCGAUACUGACGCUGAGGCACGAAAGCGUGGGGAUCGAACAGGAUUAGAAACCCUUGUAGUCC
RNAcentral lists this ribosomal RNA (445 nucleotides) under uncultured bacterium. Its description in RNAcentral is "partial 16S ribosomal RNA". It matches the Rfam family "Bacterial small subunit ribosomal RNA", at positions 354 to 796 of the family's 1533-position model. The record is from RNAcentral.